Molecule: ribosomal RNA, 253 nt
Filed under: uncultured bacterium
Lineage: Bacteria
Description: partial 16S ribosomal RNA
Rfam family: Bacterial small subunit ribosomal RNA
Source: RNAcentral
UACGGGGGGGGCAAGCGUUGUUCGGAAUUACUGGGCGUAAAGGGCUUGUAGGUGGCCAACUAAGUCAGACGUGAAAUCCCCGGGCUCAACCCGGGAACUGCGUCCGAUACUGGCAGGCUUGAAUCCGGGAGAGGGAUGCGGAAUUCCAGGUGUAGCGGUGAAAUGCGUAGAUAUCUGGAGGAACACCGGUGGCGAAGGCGGCAUCCUGGACCGGCAUUGACGCUGAGGCGCGAAAGCCAGGGGAGCAAACGGG